RNAcentral lists this long non-coding RNA (4353 nucleotides) under Homo sapiens (human). Its description in RNAcentral is "HSALNT0146066". Lineage: Eukaryota; Metazoa; Chordata; Mammalia; Primates; Hominidae. The record is from RNAcentral.
GUUUUACAGACGGGAAAAAUGAGGACCAUGAUCACCUGCCUAGCAAGUGACAGAAGCCAAAUCAUGUCCAAGUUCCCCAACAAGUCAAAGGCUAGUUCCUCCACAAAACAAUCACCUGGAGUUAAUCCACUUUGUCCCUCGGCACUGACCCAAAUUUCAUCUCUGGACACCAAGACCACCAAACAACUUGAAUCCCCCACUUCUCUGCUGGACCUCCACCUAUCAGGCCAGGAACAAAGUAAACAGAGGAGAAGCCACAGUGGGUGAGAGAUAGCACCAAGUAUCUGGAAGAACAGGAAGCAGUAGAGAAGGCGGCAGAACUGUGAAAGCGGAAUACCUAGUGCAUGGAGAGGAACGAGUCAAUUCUCACCAUGGUAGACCAGAAAAUUCCAGCAGCUAGAGGUGCCAGGUACUGGAGAAUGCUGGGGUAAGCCUUGGAAUGGAAAACAGGGGGAUUGGCCCAAACUGCUUGACCACCACUCCCAACCCUGGCAGCAGGCUGAGGAAGUGCUUUGUGAACUUAUGUUGACUCAUUUUCUCAAGACUAGGGGGCCCCAGAUAUGAGAGGGCAUGAGGGAGAGGCACUGUGCUGAAAGCAGGUAGGUUAAUUAAAAUCUGCACACUGACUAUUGAGCAACUGAAUGCUGGCUGCAGGUGGAUUUCUCUCUGGAGGCACUGAAUGGCCCAGAGGAAAGGCCUACAGAUACUGACAUCUGGAGGACCCCAGUGAAACAGCAGGAUCCACAACUAACCACUGGUACAGUAAAGUCAACAUUAGAAAAGAAAAGAAUGCCCUCUUUCUCGUCGGUUUUAAGAUUUUAAAUGUCUUAAAUAUAUGAGAGCUAAAGACCUCUCCAAGAAAGUCUCAAACAGAGCCCAAAGCAAACAGAAAGAGCAGAUGACAGAAAAGAAAGUAAAACAAAACAACCAACCAUAAAAUUGAAUAUCACCAAGAAACAUGAGAUAAUGCAUACAAGCAAUAAGAAAAGGACACUUUAAUGAAAAGGCUGGGAGUGGCUAGGCAUGGUAGCUCAGGCGUUCAGGACUAGCCUAGGCAACAUGUCAAAACCCCGUCUCACAAAAAAUGCAAAAAUUAGCCAGGCAUGGUGGUACAUGCCUGUAUUUCCUGACGCCUGACAGGCUGAGGUGGGAGGAUCGCUUGAGCCAAGGAGGCAGAGGUUGCAGUGAGCUCAAGUUGCACAGCUGCCACUCCAGCCUAGGUGACAAGAUCCUGUCUCAAAAAACAAACAAACAAACAAAAAACCCAAAACACAAAAGGCUGGCAGAGAAGGUAGAGAAAAUAUCUCACUCAGAAAGCAAAGCAAAAAAACAAAAAUAUUAAAAAUAGGGAAAAGAAAGAAGAUUAGAGGCUCAAAUCAUUUCAACUCUCAGUAAUAGCUCCAAAGACAAAGAACAGAGAAAACACGGGGCAGGGGGUACAUUAAAAAAAUCAGAAAAAAAACCAUGGAAAAACAUCUCGCAGGAUGAAAGGAUCUGGCUCUUCCGACUAAAAUGGUUCACCAAGUGCCUAGCAUAAAGAAGGAAAAGAAAAUAUACAUAACACUUUCCAAUGCACACGAUCCUGAAACACGAGAAAGCUGGAGACUUAAAGGCCGCAUAUGAAGAUUGAGAAUAAGGAUGGCACUGGACAUUAAACUUCUACAACUUUGCAAUCUAAAGACAAUAUUGACGAGCAUCUUCAAAUUCUGAGGCAAAAUUAAUUUUAAACUAGAAUUCUAUGUCCAGCUAAACUAGACAUCUGGGUUUGAGAGUAGAAUAAAGACAUUCGGACUUGCAAGGUCUUUAGAAUGUAUUCUUUCUCGGGAAGCUACUAGAGGAUGUGCCGUGUUGAGAAAAGGGUGUUAAGCAAGAGAGAUGCAUGGGAUCUGAGAAAUGGACUUUUCAUAGGAGAGAAACUAAGGGAAGGCAGACGAUGAUGAUGGUGAAGGAGCAGCAGUUCUUCAGGACAUCCCGAAAGCCAGGAGGGGUGUCUCCAGGAGAAGGUGGAAAUGCUUGCCGACUUGACAUGUUGGAUACUGUGGAAAUUGGUAUUUAGAGACAGCCAGGUUAGCAUACUUUUGGCUGCAAGUUGCAAAAGAUCCAACUCAAAACUGACCUAAAAUGAAAAACUGGGGUUUAUUCUCUCACAUAACCAGAAGUCCACGGCUAGCGCAGCUCCAGGAGUUAACUUAUUCAACAGCUCAACAUCAUCAAAGUUCCAGACUCUUUUCACAAACCUUUGCUCAGCCAUCCUCGGCAUAUUUGCUAUUUCCUGUCAGGCUUCUAGCUUGCAGGCUGGGCCUAGUCCUGCACAUACCAAAGCUGACGGGCAGGAAGGGGACUCUCUACAACCCAAGAGACCUAAGAAACCCUCCCAGGAAUACCAUCUCUCUUCCAACUUUCACUGGUCAGGCUCCUUCCUAAAUCCGUCACUGAUUUAAGAAAUGGGCCCUCCGGACUCGGUCAUACCAGUGCUCUUCUGCAUAGGACACACAAGCGAAUCAGGUGUACAGCCGGGUGGGGUAAUGAAUGAGGUUGUCAAAAUCCCAACACAUUCACAACCAACUAGAGAAACACUGAAUUAUAUCAGUUAGGAUAUUUAAGCCACGUGGAAAGGAGCAGACACCAGAAUAACACAGAAGCCUUGGUGGGCUAAAAAAAAAAAAGAGGAAAAUGGCUGUUGAGUAAUUGCUAAGGGUGCCUUCAAGAGAAGAAUUUAAGCAAUUCUGACGUAAAGUUUAGGAAAAAUCAACAGAGAUGUAGAAACUAAGCAAAUGAAAAUAAAUGACUAAUUCCAGAAAAAUUAAAAUAGUAGAGGAAAUGUAAUGGCUGCUCACUACUUGAAUCAAUAUUUAACAACAUUUAUGUAGGUAUAAUAAGGUAAACCCUGAACACUGAUUUCAUCAUACAUGAUGCAAUUCUACUGGGAAGGGAGGGAAGAGGAGUGGGGAACAGUGAUGGUAAAAGUUCUUAAUCUGCAUUUCCUGUAAUAGGAAAUCAAAAGAAAAUACCUGCAACUGAUAGAUGUAUUUAGACAUUUAGCAGAGCGAAGAAUAAUCAGUAGUUCUGGGGAGGGUGAGGCAGGGGUGCAGAGGAAUGGGGUAGAUUGCUGCUUCUGCUAUAAGCUUUAUAAAAGUACUCCUCAAAUUAUGUACACAUUAUCUUAGUUUCAAAGAUGAAACAAAGAGCAGGGGUUCUUUCCCCCUUUCUCUGAAUGGCUUCUUUAUACAGAGAACACAAAUCACAAUGUAUUAGCCAAACAAAUGCAAGCUCUACUGUUGCCUUUUCCCCAUUCACCUCCUUAUCCCAUCCCAGUUCCUCCAGCUCUCCACCCACACCCUUAUAUUGGGUGAUGUGAGAAUCCAUGUCAAAAGUUACAGCCAUCAGCGCUUUUGCAGUCUGGGAAGGAUUCAAUACACCGUGGCAGGAGGGGUCCUGGUAGUCGGUAGGCUGGAGUAGUCCUGGGACCCCAUGGUCUGGAAAGGAAAGGCACAGCCAAUUCCUCAGCAGGUGUAACUGCAGUGACAGACCUGAGUGAGUACCCCGUUAGACUACUUUGAGAAAGCAGCCAGAUACUCAUAGGCAUGACUACAUGAGCCUGACUGAGCUACCAAUCCUUCUAAGCUUUGUUUGCUCAAACAACUGCAGUUUUAAAAUUCAAACAUCCUAGCUGUAGUUAAACUUCUGCACGUAACAAAUUUCCACCUUCUUCCUUCUUAUUCAAACUCCAUAGGCUUUGACAUUUUAGGGACAGUCUCAAGGGAGAAAGUCUAAUCACAAGGAGCUAUUUACUUGGAAGGCCCAAAAUCAGAGACAAGGAGAACUUCCCAGUGACCCUGACUUUAACACCGCAAUCCACAGUGAUCCCCUAAUUCAUUUAGCACAUUUCCUCCUAUGAGCUUAACUUACCUGAGUGGCUUUCAAACAAAAUCUAGCAUGGAACCUAAUCCAUAAAACAGCUAGGUAGGCAGCUGUGAACCCCCCACUGCCCCGGUACUCAUUAAAUUCCACUUUACUGUGCCCACGACUCCCCCUGGCUCUUCUUUUCCACAUCCUGCCUUCCUUUGACAGGAUGAAAGUCCUCUCAAGUCCCACCUUCUCCAGGAAGCCUUCUCAGACUAUGCUCACUGAAGAUGUCUUCUCCCCUGAAUCAACUCAUUCAACUACACUUUAUAUAUCUGGUUGGUCCCACCAUAUAUGAUUGGUAAACCUUCCACAUUAAUUGCCUCACACUGAUAUGCUUACUACUCAGUGUAACAGAGGAGACAGCUGAGAUUUUUAAAAAAGACCAUUUAAAAAAACAAUUUAUAUAAAUAGAUUCGUAUACAAAGAAGAAACACAUAUACAGAGUAC